Molecule: long non-coding RNA, 670 nt
Organism: Fukomys damarensis (Damara mole-rat)
Lineage: Eukaryota; Metazoa; Chordata; Mammalia; Rodentia; Bathyergidae
Exons: 5
Source: RefSeq, a predicted model, not a curated record
UUCCCAAAGUCUGAAUCAAGACCAGAAGAAAGACAGUAGAAGGAUAUGACUACAUAGGGAGCCUACUCAGUAUGGUGCCCAGAUGAGAAGAGAAUAUUGAUCACAAAUGAUCAAUAUUGCGAGUGGAAAACCCAGAAAGUAUCACAACUAUAUUCCACCUCGAUGAACUUGGGCAAGUUAGCAUGUUCUGGACCCCAAUUCCUCAAAUAUAAAUUAAGACUGAAAACACCUACCUUAUACAGCAAAGUCUAGCUUUGCAGAUUUCCAAGGAAGGAGGAUCCAUCUAACAGCGGCUGGGAUGCUGGGUUGCUUGUGAAAGAAGUUUUCUUGAAGACUGAGCAACAGGACGUAGGAGACACCAAAGAAGAGAGGUCUUUUUGACUGCUAGCCUGCCACCAUGGACAUGUGGGAUUAUUUUUUCCUGCCUUCUCUCCCUGGAAGAUAGGUUGCUGCUCCUCCACCUAGACUCAAAGUUAAACAGGAAGGCAGAAUCUGCUGCUGUAAGCAUCCCAGGAGGUACACGUGAGAUAGGUUGGCUGAAUGGAAGUCCCUGACCAGAGAGGUGGAAGAGCUGCUGCCUGCACUCUUUUCCAGGGGUAGCUGUCGCACUGCUUGGCGCUCAUGCGGGAACAGGAGGACUUGACUCCGGCGGCAUUCUGCAUCUCCGCCA